Molecule: long non-coding RNA, 3260 nt
Filed under: Olea europaea subsp. europaea
Lineage: Eukaryota; Viridiplantae; Streptophyta; Magnoliopsida; Lamiales; Oleaceae
Source: RNAcentral
GUAAGGUUCAGCUUCAAAGUCUCGAACAACACUGCUGAAUAUGAGGCACUUCUAGUAGGCCUUAGACUGGCAAAAGAAAUGCAGGUCAGAAGGCUCCUAGCGAGCAGCGAUUCUCAGCUUGUAGUGAGUCAGGUCAAUGGAAACUUCGCGGCCAAAAAUAGUAGCAUGGUUGCAUACUUGAAAUUGAUUCUGGACCUAGUUCCUCAUUUUGAAAAGUUCAAGCUAAUUCAAGUCCCACGUCUAGAGAAUACUCAUGCAGACGCCCUGUCGAAAUUGGCCAGUAGUAGGGAUUCAGAGCUACUAAAGGUUGUCCCCAUUGAACACUAAUCAAACCCCUCCAUUUUCGGAGGUGAAGAGGUGUUAUGGAUAGAAGGCACCCCAUUAUGGAUGCAGCCCAUCAUCGCCUACCUUAAGGACCAAUCACUACCAGCUUCCAGAAGCGAGGCUAGGAAGUUAAAAAUGAGGGUUGCACACUUCGUCCUACAAGAAUAUGUCAUCUACAAAAAAGGUUUCGCCUCGCCACUUCUCCGAUGUGUAGGAAGCGAAGAGGCUAUGUACAUACUCAGGAAAAUCCAUGAGGGAAUCUGUGGGAAUCACUCCGGAGGAACGGCUCUGGCACACAAAGUACUCCGGUAAGACUACUUUUGGCCGACUCCGAAAAUUAAUGCUUGUCAGUUUGUCCAGAAAUGUGACAAGUGUCAGCGCUUUUCAAAUAUUCAAAGGCAACCUUCUCAGAGCCUCUCCAUAGUGACCAGCCCUUGGCUGUUCACCAAAUGGGACAUCGACUUCAUUGGUCCACUCCUAAAAGGAAGAGGAAGCGCGACUUUUGCCAUUGUCGCCGUCAAUUGUUUCACCAAGUGGGUCGAAGCUGAACCUCUUGCCAAGAUCACCGAGGCGAAUACCACCAAAAUCGUCUGGAAGAACAUCAUUUGCAGGUUCGACAUUCCCUACUCCUUAGUAUCUGACAACGGGAGACAUUUCGACAACAAGAAAAUGUGAGACUUAUGCGACGAACUGGGCAUAAAAAAUGACUUCUCCACGCCUCAUCACCCACAAGCAAAUGGGCAAGUUGAGGCAGUAAACAAAACAAUCAAGCAUACCCUGAAAUGGAAGCUUGACACCUUAAAAGGGGCUUGGGUCAAUGAGCUUCUCCACGUCUUCUGGGCCAUCAGAACAACUAGCCAAACUGCAAUGUGGGGGACACCCUUCUCCAUGACCUACAGAACCGAGGCCAUGAGCCCGAUUGAGGUAAGAGUCCCAUCGCACCGCCGAAUACACUUCAAUGAGAUCAGUAACGACGAGUCUCGAAUGAGCGAACUCCACCUCCUUGAAGAAAGGAGGGAUGCCUUUCAGGUGAACUUGGCGAAGUAUCAUAGAAAGAUGACCCUCUAUUAUAACUCCAAUGUUAGAAAUCAGACUCUUCGUCUGGGGGACCUCAUCCUUAGAAAGGUCUUCCAAUCAUUAAAGCCAACUGGGUCUGGAGUGUUGUGACCAAACUGGAAGGGUCCUUACUGCAUCCACAAGGAAUCCUGACCUGGUACUUUUGAAAUUGAAGACAUGGCAGGGAGAGCACUGCCUCAUCAAUGGAACGUCGAACAUUUGAGGAAGUACUAUCAACAAUGAGCUUGUGUUCCGAUCCGAUCUCAAUGAUGUCUAGUAAAUGUGUGUCAUGGUCUGAUCUCAUUUGUAACUUCCUUACCUUACUAAGUGCUGAAAAAUGCCUUAGUGAAGAGUGAUGUAAUUCCUCUUAAGUGAUGAUAUUUCAGUUGUUUGUCACAUCGGUUAACAAAUUGUUACCUCAGUUCUUCAAUAUGUUAAUUGACCCGAUCUUCUGUUAUUAACUGGUUAUUGGUAAGAGGCGCUUAAGUGGUUGUCAUUCAUAUACUUAAGGGUAAACAACUCAACACAAUGAAAAAGCAGAAGCAACAAUACUUGUACAAAAAACUUCAUUUUCAUUCAUUUGGAAUUGGAUUACAAGAGGCCGAAGCCAUUACAAAAAUUGAUAAACUCUAUCCUACUGGGGCAUCUCCCACUCCGGGCUCCGCCUCGCCUACCCCAGGGGCCUCUGGAACGUCGUCGACGAACUUAUCAGGCCGAUCUCCAGUAGGCCCGUCGAACUUUGCUUCUAACGAGGAUAUGUCCAGAGUAGGAUGGAACUCUUUCAGCCGACCCAAUAUUUCUUGGGCACUCCAGGAAGCCUAGAAGUUUUCAAAGUCGUCAUAUAGGGGGUACUCUUCAAAGUGGUUGAUGAAGUUCUAUACAGCCACCUCCCCUGCCGACUUCAGCUCCUCCUUCAGAGAGGCGAUUUCCUUAGCUUGGGCAUCCGCCAUCUGCCUCAGCUCCGCCUUUUCUUUAUUGGAGGCCUCCAAAGCCUCCGUGGAGAGCCGGUGGUGCUCGUUUACAUGAUCAACUCUGUGGGUCAUAGCAGCCACUUGGCACUCCACUUCUUAGAGCUCCUUCUUCAGCCGCUCUAUGUCCCUCCUGACAGUCCCCAGCUGGGCCUCAGCCUCUUUCCUUCCUCUCUCUUCAUCUUCGGCCUUAGUCCGAGCCUCCCUCACUGCAUCACCAUAGUAAAUCGCCUCCUCAAGGCGCUUGGCAAGGUCCUCUCUCUUAGCAUUGAGGUCUUUCACCAAACCCUCAAGUUGGAUGCUUGUGCUUAAGGCCCAGGCCACACAAGCACUGUUGGCCGCAACCAAGUCCUCGACAGUGCAAGAAGCGGUGUGGUCUCUCUAUUCCUCGGUCCAAUACUCAUUGUGGACCACCGUAACCAUCUCUGGAGGAAGAGCCUCCAGCACUUCUUUCACUGGCUCCUCUGGAUUGGUCCCCAAGAAGUCCACCUCCUUCGAAGGACAAGCCUUCUUCCUCUAUGGCUGCCCGGCACUUAAGCAAUGGGCAUAGCAGCCACUGGCGAUGCGGUCAGGCAGAAGAAGCCUCUAAUGGCACAAGCAUCUUCUCCGAAAUGACCACCCCGAUAGGGAUUGUAGUCUGCCUCAGAGCCGGAGGCGGCCUCGCCACAGUUUUGCGCCUCGAGGGGGCAGCAGGCUUCUUACCCUUCCGCAACAGAUUUGCAUUGGGGUCCUCCGCCACUUCCUCCUCGGUCGGAGGCUGGAGCCUUUUGCUGGCCUCCACCAGAUCUUCCAUCUGCUUUUUGUACGCAAAUGAUGAGGUCUUUAGGGCUCUCGCCUCCGCCAUCAUCCUUUGGAUGGUUUUAAAGUCUGGCCUCAGAGGCAGCUUCUUGUUAAAGUUAUCUACAAGGGAAC